Molecule: ribosomal RNA, 440 nt
Filed under: uncultured bacterium
Lineage: Bacteria
Description: partial 16S ribosomal RNA
Rfam family: Bacterial small subunit ribosomal RNA
Source: RNAcentral
CCUACGGGUGGCAGCAGUAGGGAAUAUUGCUCAAUGGGGGAAACCCUGAAGCAGCAACGCCGCGUGGAGGAUGAAGGUUUUCUGAUUGUAAACUCCUUUUGUUAGAGGAGAUAAUGACGGUAUCUAACGAAUAAGCACCGGCUAACUCCGUGCCAGCAGCCGCAGUAAUACGGAGGGUGCAAGCGUUACUCGGAAUCACUGGGCGUAAAGAGCGCGUAGGCGGGAUAGCCAGUCAGAUGUGAAAUCCUAGGGCUUAACCAUAGAACUGCAUUUGAAACUGGUAUUCUAGAGUAUGGGAGAGGUAGGUGGAAUGCGUGGUGUAGGGGUAAAAUGCGUAGAGAUCAAGAGGAAUACUCAUUGCGAAGGCGACAUGCUAGAACACAACUGACGCUGAUGCGCGAAAGCGUGGGGAGCAAACAGGAUUAGAUACCCUGGUAGUC